Molecule: ribosomal RNA, 253 nt
Filed under: uncultured prokaryote
Description: partial 16S ribosomal RNA
Rfam family: Bacterial small subunit ribosomal RNA
Source: RNAcentral
AUACAGAGGGUGCGAGCGUUGUCCGGAAUCACUGGGCGUAAAGGGCGCGUAGGCGGCCUGAUAAGUCGGGGGUGAAAUCCUGUGGCUCAACCACAGGGCUGCCUCCGAGACUGUCGGGCUUGAGCACAGUAGAGGCAGGUGGAAUUCCCGGUGUAGCGGUGGAAUGCGUAGAGAUCGGGAAGAACAUCGGUGGCGAAGGCGGCCUGCUGGGCUGUUGCUGACGCUGAGGCGCGACAGCGUGGGGAGCAAACAG